GUGAUAAAAUGGCGGCUGAAUUUCGAAGUGAAGUAUUCACGGCCAUCACAAUGAGUCCAGUGACUCACGUUACGACCUUAAUAUCGAUUAGUUUGGAGCAUCCACCUAAGUUGAUGUACGUUACGUGCCAACAGUUUUCUAUUAAUAAUGGCUUACGCUCCAUUCAAAAUUUAAGUGAAAUAUAUUACGCACAAUUACCGAAUACUUCUAUUAUUUCUGCAAAUUUGAUAAACUUGAUUUAUUAACAUUAUGUUGUUUCAUAUUAAAAAUACACCAGAGAUGAGAAAAAAAAAAUUAUUCCAAUAAUAGAAAAUUUUGGAUUAAAAAUCUUUGACAAAGAAGAUCUCUAACAAAGAGGAAGAAAAAUAUUUAACGCUAACGCUCCGAAGAUAUUCCGAAGCGUUAAAUAUUUAAAUGCGCUUAUUCCAAGUAAACGAGAGAUAUGUUUACGCUGUAUUAAUUAAAAUACUGUAUAUUUAAUUAAUUAGGAACGUUUACUUCUGCAGAAUGUGAAAGUUUAGAUUAAUAUUUUUCUACUCCCCGAAAGCGGGAGUGGGCCCCAAACGAAACCAUUACAGCUUCUGGUAGACAACUCGAGUUUGAAGUUUUAUCUUCGAGUAACCGAAGAGAAAAAUCCUAGUAUAGAAUGUUGGAAGGAACCGAUUUUAACGUCACACUACAGUCGGAGUCUCACGCUAUACGUCAGCUUCAGGAGACAGGACGGUUCAUUUUAUAGGAGGUAGGAGAGAAAAUUAAAGGAGACGAAACGUCACGUUCAAUCUACUGUUUCGCUCGCACACACCAGAAAAUAUUGCGCUUUUAAUAAAAUAAAUAUAUAUAUUUUUUUCCACCUUUAUAUGCGCAUUUAUAACAAAUAAAGCGAUUAGUAUUAUUCAAAUAGAUGGGUCAACGGAUUUUUCUCUGAUUCAUCCCAUCGAACCGAUUCUAGGAAGAUAACUUCGCCAUUAUGUUUCCAGAUAAACGAUAAAUUUCACCUCUUUUUUUUUUUUUAAAUUUCUUGAGCUCAUUUAAUACUUUUUACCGUGAUCGCAAAGAAUGAAGAGUAUCGUGGAUAGUAAAUCAUAUUUAUGGAAUCUGCAGGAUUAUCAUAUAAUCGAUUUAUCGAGAAAAUUGAAUUACACGCGAGAUGAUCAUAUACAAUCAUACUUAAUCGAGAGAAUGGAAAUUUAUUAAACUUAUCUUUAAUAUAAUAAAUGUUUCGUUGGUUUAAUUGAAGUUAAAAAGAAAAUAAUGUAGUGUAUACGUUUCCGUAAAAGAGGAAAUAUUUAGAUUUCGUUUCGUCUUCGUCAGUCUUCCAUUGAAACGAACAGGAAGAAUAGGGUGAUUGGGGAAAAAAGGAACAACAAGCAGACCGAAACGUUCCUCCGUAACUAAGAAUGAUUUCCUUGUCACGUCGUCAGACGAUGUCAUUAAUGAUCCGUGAGAAAAAAAAGAAAAGGCAAAUCUGAAAAGUCUUGAAUACGAAUAUUUUCCGGUGAAUAAUUUAAGAAGGAAGAUCGUUAAUGGUAUUAAAAUGCUAUCAUUUUAUUGAUGCUGUUACACUUUAAUUGACAUACUGUAUAAAUGCAUUUAAAUCAAG
Molecule: long non-coding RNA, 1600 nt
Organism: Centruroides sculpturatus (bark scorpion)
Lineage: Eukaryota; Metazoa; Arthropoda; Arachnida; Scorpiones; Buthidae
Exons: 3
Source: RefSeq, a predicted model, not a curated record